CUUGGUCAUUUAGAGGAAGUAAAAGUCGUAACAAGGUUUCCGUAGGUGAACCUGCGGAAGGAUCAUUAGUGAAUCUUCAAAGUCGGCUUGUCGGAUUGUGCUGGUGGAGACACAAGUGCACAUCUGCAAGUCGCAAACCCACACACCUGUGCAUCUAUGACCCUGAGUGCCGCUUUGCAUGGCCCCUUGAUUUGGGCCUGGCGCUCGAGUACUUUCACACACUCUCGAAUGUAAUGGAAUGUCUUGUUGUGCGUAACGUACAAACAGAAACAACUUUCAACAACGGAUCUCUUGGCUCUCGCAUCGAUGAAGAACGCAGCGAAAUGCGAUAAGUAAUGUGAAUUGCAGAAUUCAGUGAAUCAUCGAAUCUUUGAACGCACCUUGCACCCUUUGGUAUUCCGAAGGGUACGCCCGUUUGAGUGUCAUUGUAAUCUCACUAUGAUCGACUUUUGUCUUUUCGUAUGUGGACUUGGAUGUUGCCGUGAAUAAACAAGCGGCUCGUCUGAAAUGCCUGAGUGUACCCCGCUUUGCGGCGUAUUCGGUGUGAUAAAUCUUCACCGGAGUUGAUCCCUUUAUGGGGUCGCGUCUGUAAGGGUGUGGCUCUAUGCUUCGAACCGUCUCCUAUCGAGACAACUCUCUGACAAUUUGACCUCAAAUCGGGUGGGACUACCCGCUGAACUUAAGCAUAUCAAUAAGCGGAGGA
Molecule: ribosomal RNA, 703 nt
Filed under: uncultured Sebacina
Lineage: Eukaryota; Fungi; Basidiomycota; Agaricomycetes; Sebacinales; Sebacinaceae
Description: eukaryotic LSU rRNA
Rfam family: 5.8S ribosomal RNA (bases 272-425)
Source: RNAcentral